GUAAGAAGUGCGAGAUGGUUGCGGAGGCAUGGAGAGAGGAAGAACUACAUCUACUAGGAAUUUCAAAGGAAAUCAUAACAAAAACUGAGAUUUGCCGAGUCCCCACGAUUUGCUAGGCUGUGUCAACGCCACCAAGAGCUGGACCUAGAAAUUCUGCUUCAGACUCCAGGGUCCUGCACAUGAGAAAUGAAGAUACGACUGACUUUGGAUCCUGUGGGAGGAAGGGAUCUGAUGUAAUCAAUCUGCUACCAAGUGUCCGACUGGUUUCCUCAAGGAAUGGAGUG
This is a long non-coding RNA of Zalophus californianus (California sea lion), 284 nucleotides long. RefSeq lists it as uncharacterized. NCBI's taxonomy places the organism in Eukaryota, Metazoa, Chordata, Mammalia, Carnivora, Otariidae. The transcript has 3 exons. The record is from RefSeq and is a predicted model, not a curated record.